UGGCAUGGCGGAUGUAACCUGAUACUGUAACCUGAUACAGGACGGACUACUUUGGGAAUGAAGUUUCUCUAGUGCUUCAAGUUGCAGGCAUCGGUUCGUCUUUCCUGACUCCGGACUCCUUCCCAAACUCAGUGAUGCAGAGAAGACUAUUUCCAACUAAGACAGCAUACAGAAAUUUUUCACAACUUCACACAUAAGCAACCAGCGCUUCUGAAACGAUGAGGAGUGGACUUGAAAGCUGUGCCUGGACUCACAGGUGCACUCAAUCUCUCGAGAGAAGCCAGCCGUACCUGUAGCUGUUGGACCCAAUGAAACCAGACUCAAAAGCUGUGCCUGGACUCACAGGAAAGACUGCAGAAGUCGAGAUUCUCCACUAAGAUGGACUAGCAAACAUUAUUUCAAAGUUCAAUCUUUAUUCAGCAACAUCGGACGCUUGAUUGUAACUGUUUCUCUUCUCGUUAAGAUCACGUAUUUCGUUUUCGAAACGCACGUAAAUAAUUUGAACAUAGUCCCAACAGUGGAAGUCAAGCAAGAAAUGUUAUGUUUUGUAUAGAGCUCUGCAUUUUGUUACAACAUAUGAUAGCAUUGUAUAAUCGUACGAGAAACUAAAUCGUUAGAAACAAAGUAUUUCGUUCACCGUUUAGCCAAUAUCAGUAAGCUGAUAUUGUGCUCUGAAACUGUUUAACUUUAUGUAACUGCAGGGCAUUGAUUGUAUUGUAUGUUCCAUGUAUGUAUGUACACAUAGAAAAAAAAAAUAGAGAUAAGAAGAUUAUAAAUGGACUAGGCUGGUACAUUUGUUUACAGGAACGGGUAGAAGUAAAAUUGUUGUACUGUAAUAUAUGAUAAAAUGUGAAGACGUUUUGUAAAACCAUUGAAAAAAACUUGGGAUUUGUGUAUUCCUGUAAACAAACUUAGUACCAGCG
This is a long non-coding RNA of Branchiostoma belcheri (Belcher's lancelet), 923 nucleotides long. RefSeq lists it as uncharacterized. The transcript has 4 exons. NCBI's taxonomy places the organism in Eukaryota, Metazoa, Chordata, Leptocardii, Amphioxiformes, Branchiostomatidae. The record is from RefSeq and is a predicted model, not a curated record.